UGAGGUUGGAAAGCAGCCAUUUUGGGAAUUUCAGACAGUCUCUGUAGUUUAUGAGGGGAAAAAAAGUGAAUUUGUCUUCGGAACAGAUACUCCCUUUGUUUACGGAGGGGCCACGUCACUGAGCUGUUUUGGUCCUACUGGUAAGACCAGUUCUCAUCCUAAUGUAUACCAUUUACAAAUGUCAAUUGGAGACUCUCCAGAUGAAUCCUAAAGUCAGAAAUUCUUUUUCUGUAAUACUUGGAACUCCAGUCUCCAAUGCCUGAAAAAUCACUGUAUAUUCUUGGGAGAUUAGUUUGUUUUUUGGACCAAAUAUGAGCUCACAAGUCAUCCAUGCCAAGACCUACCCCCACGAGGAGGGAGAUGCAGGCUUGGCCCCCAAAACUGGCCCAGGCUGUUGAGUUGCUCCUGAGGGGCUAUUUAAGCUGAAGAAGCCUGACCUGAGGAAGCCAGAAAAGUCUGUGAUGAUUGGGACCGGGUCAGAGAGCAACCUGACAGCUGUGCUUUGGGGACUGAAAGAAGGAGUUCACAUCCACGUUAGGAAUGAAGACGUACAAGGGCAAGUGUCAACAGCCUGCAAAACAGGAUGCUAGAGAUGCCCAGCUGAGCUCAAGGGGAGAAAUAAUGCUGAGCAAAGAGGCUGUAUUUCAACAAAAGUGAUGGUUGGAGUCAGUGAGCUGAGAGUGUGGAGUCUGGAAUCCUUACCAAGGUGAGCCAGAGCCGUGGGCAGGCAAAGUGAGGAGGAGCAGAAAGUAGUCCUGGCAGAAA
RNAcentral lists this long non-coding RNA (765 nucleotides) under Equus caballus (horse). RNAcentral's name for it is "lncRNA (ENSECAG00000054504.1)". The record is from RNAcentral. Lineage: Eukaryota; Metazoa; Chordata; Mammalia; Perissodactyla; Equidae.